This 555-nucleotide unclassified non-coding RNA is filed under the name Hevea brasiliensis (rubber tree). Lineage: Eukaryota; Viridiplantae; Streptophyta; Magnoliopsida; Malpighiales; Euphorbiaceae. The record is from RNAcentral.
GGACAAACCCAAGUCUCCUGCUCCUGUCUACUUCUUAAAGUCUCCGUCUCUCCCCGCCCUUUUCCUUUCUUUACUUUUGUUUUGAAUGGGUCCUCGUUUUGCACACGCUUCGGCCUUCAGCUCUUUCAUUUUUCCACAUUUCCUUCUGGCGAGUGGCCACCAUUUAAGCCUGACGUACUACUUGUCAACGACCCAGAUUCUCUAAAUCUUAAAGGAAAUGACUUUGUACGUCAAGUUACUGACAGCUUGUGGGAGCAUGUACAAAGCUGCUCAGGGUCUUUACCAUCUGAUCCUCAAGAAGUUCAGAAGAGAUUUCCGCCUUUGAAGAGGCAGAGAUGGCUGGUGUGGUUCACAUUCGAGGGAAGACGAGAUUUUACAUAGGAGACAACUGUGACUGCAGGUCUGCACUGCCAAUUCUUGGUGUGCCACAACCACAAUGAUAUGUAACUAAACAUACAUCCUCCUUUCUUAUGCUUACUAUCAAAAUUUUCAGCAUACGGUUCAAAGAAUUAGAUGCGGAGACGUGAGAACUAAGAAGCAUUUGUUUUUUGGUAA